This 241-nucleotide long non-coding RNA is filed under the name Capsella rubella. RNAcentral describes it as "long non-coding RNA (CRUB_LNC000543)". The record is from RNAcentral. Lineage: Eukaryota; Viridiplantae; Streptophyta; Magnoliopsida; Brassicales; Brassicaceae.
UGGAGUGUCCUAUGGUUAAAUUAAAUAGGUUAUGAAAUUGGCACUAUUUGUACUAAUUGGUAUGAAAUUUUUUUUUUUUUUUGAGUUUGAAUAGAAAUUCGUAAUGCAACUUUGUAAAAAUAAAAAUUGAUACUUUUGAAGUUGUACGAGUAUGAAAUGAACAUUUUCACUAAAUGAAUAAAAGACAGAAAACCAAAGAUAAAGAAGAUAGAUAUACCUUGUGUUUAACCUCAAAUUGAGA